GUGAAUCAUCAAAUUUUUGAACGCAAAUUGCACUCUCUGGUAUUCCGGAGAGUAUGCCUGUUUGAGGGACAGUUUAAAUAAAAAUCGGUGUGGUUGCUGCCUUUCGUGGUGACGCACCGGAUUUGGGUCGUCUUGCCUUCGGUUAAGUGACCUAAAAUUUUGCAUGAUUUUCGGAUGUUAUUAAAUGAAUUUUAGGACGUUUGCCGUUACCGAU
RNAcentral lists this unclassified non-coding RNA (214 nucleotides) under Glomeraceae sp. Its description in RNAcentral is "partial contains 5.8S ribosomal RNA and internal transcribed spacer 2". The stretch from base 1 to 71 matches the Rfam family "5.8S ribosomal RNA", at positions 84 to 154 of the family's 154-position model. The record is from RNAcentral. Lineage: Eukaryota; Fungi; Glomeromycota; Glomeromycetes; Glomerales; Glomeraceae.